CAGUAGCCGCGGGAAUACAGAGGGUGCGAGCGUUAUCCGGAAUUAUUGGGCGUAAAGAGCUCGUAGGCGGUUUGUCGCGUCUGCUGUGAAAACUGGAGGCUCAACCUCCAGCCUGCAGUGGGUACGGGCAAACUAGAGUGCGGUAGGGGAGAUUGGAAUUCCUGGUGUAGCGGUGGAAUGCGCAGAUAUCAGGAGGAACACCGAUGGCGAAGGCAGAUCUCUGGGCCGUAACUGACGCUGAGGAGCGAAAGCAUGGGGAGCGAACAGGAUUAGAUACCCGCGUAGUCCCUGUCUCUUAUAC
This 301-nucleotide ribosomal RNA is filed under the name uncultured bacterium. RNAcentral's name for it is "partial 16S ribosomal RNA". It matches the Rfam family "Bacterial small subunit ribosomal RNA", at positions 509 to 807 of the family's 1533-position model. The record is from RNAcentral.